RNAcentral lists this ribosomal RNA (684 nucleotides) under uncultured Bacillota bacterium. RNAcentral describes it as "bacterial SSU rRNA". It matches the Rfam family "Bacterial small subunit ribosomal RNA", at positions 217 to 917 of the family's 1533-position model. The record is from RNAcentral. Lineage: Bacteria; Bacillati; Bacillota.
GCUGAUAGAUGGGCUCGCGUCCGAUUAGAUAGUUGGUGGGGUAACGGCCUACCAAGUCGACGAUCGGUAGCCGGACUGAGAGGUCGAACGGCCACAUUGGGACUGAGACACGGCCCAGACUCCUACGGGAGGCAGCAGUGGGGGAUAUUGCACAAUGGGGGAAACCCUGAUGCAGCGACGCCGCGUGAGGGAAGACGGUCCUCUGGAUUGUAAACCUCUGUCUUCGGGGACGAAAGUAGGCGGUACCCGAGGAGGAAGCCACGGCUAACUACGUGCCAGCAGCCGCGGUAAUACGUAGGUGGCAAGCGUUGUCCGGAAUUGCUGGGUGUAAUGGGAGCGUAGGCGGGCAGGCAAGUCAGGCGUGAAAUAUAUCGGCUCAACCGGUAACGGCGCUUGAAACUGCAGGUCUUGAGUGAAGUAGAGGUUGGCGGAAUUCCUAGUGUAGCGGUGAAAUGCGUAGAUAUUAGGAGGAACACCAGUGGCGAAGGCGGCCAACUGGGCUUUUACUGACGCUGAGGCUCGAAAGUGUGGGGAGCAAACAGGAUUAGAUAGCCUGGUAGUCCACACCGUAAACGAUGAUUACUAGGUGUGGGGGGACUGACCCCUUCCGUGCCGGAGUUAACACAAUAAGUAAUCCACCUGGGGAGUACGGCCGCAAGGUUGCAACUCAAAGGGAUUGACGGA